Molecule: ribosomal RNA, 539 nt
Filed under: uncultured bacterium
Lineage: Bacteria
Description: bacterial SSU rRNA
Rfam family: Bacterial small subunit ribosomal RNA
Source: RNAcentral
GAGGAAUAUUGGUCAAUGGGCGAGAGCCUGAACCAGCCAAGUAGCGUGCAGGAUGACGGCUCUAUGGGUUGUAAACUGCUUUUGUAUGGGGAUAAAGUCAAUCACGUGUGAUUGUUUGCAGGUACCAUACGAAUAAGGACCGGCUAAUUCCGUGCCAGCAGCCGCGGUAAUACGGAAGGUCCGGGCGUUAUCCGGAUUUAUUGGGUUUAAAGGGAGCGUAGGCUGGAGAUUAAGUGUGUUGUGAAAUGUAGACGCUCAACGUCUGACUUGCAGCGCAUACUGGUUUCCUUGAGUACGCACAACGUUGGCGGAAUUCGUCGUGUAGCGGUGAAAUGCUUAGAUAUGACGAAGAACUCCGAUUGCGAAGGCAGCUGACGGGAGCGCAACUGACGCUGAAGCUCGAAGGUGCGGGUAUCGAACAGGAUUAGAUACCCUGGUAGUCCGCACAGUAAACGAUGGAUGCCCGCUGUUGGUACCUGGUAUCAGCGGCUAAGCGAAAGCAUUAAGCAUCCCACCUGGGGAGUACGCCGGCAACGGUG